AGAGUUUGAUCAUGGCUCAGGACGAACGCUGGCGGUGUGCUUCACACAUGCAAGUCGAACGGGGUAGCAAUACCCAGUGGCGGACGGGUGAGUAACGCGUAGAAAUCUGCCUUUAGGUGGGGGAUAACAGUUCGAAAGAACUGCUAAUACCGCAUAUGUGUGUAAUUCGACAGUUUUACACAUAAAAGGAGCAAUUUGCCUGAAGAUGAGUCUGCGUCCGAUUAGCUAGUUGGUAGGGUAAAGGCCUACCAAGGCGACGAUCGGUAGGUGGUCUGAGAGGAUGAUCACCCACAAUGGGACUGAGACACGGCCCAUACUCCUACGGGAGGCAGCAGUGGGGAAUUUUGUGCAAUGGGCGAAAGCCUGACACAGCGACACCGCGUGAGCGAAGAAGCCCUUUGGGGUGUAAAGCUCUGUCAGCUGGAACGAAAAAAAUGACGGUACCAGCAGAGGAAGCAUCGGCUAACUACGUGCCAGCAGCCGCGGUAAGACGUAGGAUGCAAGCGUUGUCCGGAUUUAUUGGGCGUAAAGAGUUCGUAGGUGGUUCGUUAAGUCUGAUGUUAAAGAUCAGGGCUCAACCCUGGGAGUGCAUUGGAUACUGGCGGACUGGAGUAUGGUAGAGGCUAGUGGAAUUCCCAGUGUAGCGGUGAAAUGCGUAGAUAUUGGGAAGAACACCGGUGGCGUAGGCGACUAGCUGGGCCAUAACUGACGCUGAGGAACGAAAGCCAGGGGAGCGAAUGGGAUUAGAUACCCUAGUAGUCC
Molecule: ribosomal RNA, 762 nt
Filed under: uncultured bacterium
Lineage: Bacteria
Description: bacterial SSU rRNA
Rfam family: Bacterial small subunit ribosomal RNA
Source: RNAcentral